Cydia fagiglandana is the source of this 2811-nucleotide long non-coding RNA. RefSeq lists it as uncharacterized. The record is from RefSeq and is a predicted model, not a curated record. NCBI's taxonomy places the organism in Eukaryota, Metazoa, Arthropoda, Insecta, Lepidoptera, Tortricidae. The transcript has 2 exons.
GUUCUUUCUAAUGCUAAAAAAAACGAACAAUAGUACAGACAGGGUAGACUAGACUACCCAGGGCCCGCAUGGAGCCUAUGGCAGCCAAUAAUUAAGUACUUCAAAUCCGCCACUGUUCCUAGAUUAAGGUGCUCAAUGCCAUUAUAGGAAUAUUAGGAAUCGAAUUCUACGAAUCUAAGGGUCAAAUUAUAUGAACGACUAAUUUUAAACAUAAAGGUUAUAACCUCCUAAGGCCCAGCCAUACAAAUAAAUAAUCCAAAAUUUGCCACUGCAAUUUGAACCUAUACUGUAAGAAAUUGAGUUGAUUUUGCUUUGUAUAAAAAAUGAACGACGCGAGACAAAUGCAACUCUGUUCCAAUUGGAUAUGAUUUAAAUUUCAUCGAACUGAAUAAGUACUAUAGGUAGGACCUUGGGCCUUACGAGGAUAUUGUGAACAGAUUACGUGCUUAGGUCUGAUAAUGUCACAAUCACAAUCGCAUCUUCGCUAUUGAAACGUAAAGUGCUUAAAAGACAAAGAAAAAGAAGCUCAACUCUCAAGUAAAAGAAAGUUUUUAUAAUGUGAUCAUUUAAAUUCAACGAAUAUAUUUUUUUUUAUAAAGUUAGUUAAGCUAAGAAAUGAUAAAAAUAUAAAUAAAAGACAAACAUUUGUGCUGCAGGCAGCUGCUUAUUGAUAUAAAAAAUGAAUUAGGUACCUAGAAUCUAGGUCUAGAUUGUUUUCCACGCUAGCUGACAAUACCUAACUGAUUGAAUGAACUUUAUAUCUCGAAAUUUUAAACUGUUAUGCGGGUGAAGUAAAAAAUAUACAGUAUGUGUCUGACCAUGCAUGGGGCUUUAAUUCCAGGGCUUGAUUUUACUCGCUAAACUGCGUUACUUUUACCAUGGGACCAACCCUAAAAUCGGGGAAAAAUUUUUGGCUUUCCCAUAGAAAACGUCGACAUCUGAUCAGCCAAAAUGUAUGAAAAAGUAAAAAUUUUUUCGGGCUUUCGGGGUUAGUGCCAUAAUAAAAGUAGCUCAGUUAAGCGAGUAGAAUCGAGCCCUGAAUUUAAAGCCCAAUGGUCAGUAACACCCUGUAUAUCUACCUAACGUGAUAUUAUGUACCAACCUAAGGUUGCAAUCUCAUUCUGUGAUGUGCCUGUUUUAUAAUUAAUUUAGGUACCUACUUAAUAGGAAAAUCAAACGAUUCUUCUACUUCUCUGAAACAUUUUAACAUUUGCUGGGCUACUUCUUUGGCUACUUCCAUUUAGCUAUUAUAAUCUACUUAUAUAUAGUUAUCGUACAAACAACAAAGACUGUAAAAUUUUAUUUGAAUCUAAAAGCCGGAGGUCUUAAAAUUAGAAACGGGCACUUUCGACAUUUUACACCAUUGAAUGACAAUUUGAAAUUAAACCUUAUAUGACUAACCGAAGGUUCAUAUUGCUUUGAUAUGCCUGACUGGUUAAGUAAGACCUCGUUUUAUAGACUAAAAGUGUGUUGUUUUUAGUAAAUAAGCGUUAAAAGUGGUGUUAACUGUUAAUCAUAUAUUUAUCCCAUUCCGUUUCCAAUUUGAGAAAGAGACAAAAUGUAAGAUAUUGCAUGACAUCAGUUUAUACGAAUAUUUUAUCAAUUUAUCAUGCAAGGGCAAUAGCGCCCACUAGGUAUUGUAUCUUAUCUAUACUACGUAUUUCGAUGUGUUGUCUAAAAGAAAAUGGUGCUUACGCUUACUGAGCUAUAGUUCGUUUUUUUAGCAUUAGAAAUUAAGUUAAACAAUCUUGAUGUGUCUUUUAAUUGAAAAACACAUUUUAAAAAUAAGUUUCGGCAAAUAUGUAACAAUUAUGAAUGUAAUACGAUCAUUUAUAUUCUUCUGCUUUCAAAAGUAAUAGUUACUGAUUUUUAUAAAGCGUUUUUCAAUUAAAAGACAUGUCAAGAUCGCUUACCUUCUUGCAAGUUCUUUCUAAUGCUAAAAAAACGAUCUAUAAGAGUUAAGCCGCGAACUGGAUGCAAGCUGUAUGUGUACAGUCGACGUCCAAUAAGAUAUGUUUACAUUUUUCGCCUUAUUACAAAGGAGUAAGGAGCAAGUGUAAACAUAUCUUUAACGUCGACUGUACAUAUAUCAUGCGUAAUGUAGUUACGAAUGGCCUUGUUUGCCGCUCGCCGCUUGCGUCCAGUCCGCGGCCUUAUUGAUUAAUCAAUGAAUCUUUGUUACUUAGCGAAUAUCCUCUAGCCGCCCAUACGUCAAACCUUGCCAAGCAAAGUUAAAUUUUAUUUUGUCAACACAAAGUUUAAAUUGGAAUGUAACAGGAGACCUUUUUAUAGGUCUCUGGGCGGCUAGAGGAUAUGAAAGUUAACCCUGUUCCAGGCCGCACCAAUCUACAAGGUUUCCCAAAAGAUCCAAAUUUCAAUUAAUCCAGCUUUAAAUGGAUCAUAUUUAAAGACAAGUCACAUUCCCGAAAGUGCAAUCUAGUUUGAACCUUAAAUCGAAAUGCUAAAGUUGAAAUUCUGUUGGCGCGUAUGUGGUCGAUAAAUCGUACUAUGCCUGGAAAAGGGUUAAAGGGCUAUUUCACUUUGCGAUACACCGGGUGGUGUACCGGAACCCAUUUCAAGGUCAUUUCCCCUCCUUUGUCCUUACGUAUUUUUUAACAAAUAUUCCGGUUAACCGUACUCAGUGUAUUGCAAACUAUAAUACGCCUAUUAUUAUGUAAGUAGAUAAUUUAAUAAAAUCGCAAUUUGAAGUAUUUUAUUAUUAACUUUGUUUUUAAGUGUUGAUCUGUCAAUCAGUAUUCUACAGAGUUUUUGAUAAGAUGUAUUAAAUUAUAUUAAGCUAAUGUACUCAAA